This 468-nucleotide ribosomal RNA is filed under the name uncultured bacterium. RNAcentral describes it as "partial 16S ribosomal RNA". It matches the Rfam family "Bacterial small subunit ribosomal RNA", at positions 28 to 507 of the family's 1533-position model. The record is from RNAcentral.
GAUGAACGCUGGCGGCGUGCUUAACACAUGCAAGUCGAACGGAAAGGCCCAAGCUUGCUUGGGUACUCGAGUGGCGAACGGGUGAGUAACACGUGGGUGAUCUGCCCUGCACUUCGGGAUAAGCCUGGGAAACUGGGUCUAAUCCCGGAUAGGACGAUGGUUUGGAUGCCAUUGUGGAAAGUUUUUUCGGUGUGGGAUGAGCUCGCGGCCUAUCAGCUUGUUGGUGGGGUCAUGGCCUACCAAGGCGUCGACGGGUGGCCGGCCUGAGAGGGUGUACGGCCACAUUGGAACUGGGAUACGGGCCAGACUCCUACGGGAUGCAGCAGGGGGGAAUAUUGCACAAUGGGCGCAAGGCUGAUGCAGGAACGCCGCGUGGGGGAUGACGGCCUUCGGGUUGUAAGCUCCUUUCGCUAGGGACGAAGCGUUUUUGUGACGGUACCUGGAGAAGAAGCACCGGCUAACUACGUG